RNAcentral lists this ribosomal RNA (261 nucleotides) under uncultured archaeon. Its description in RNAcentral is "partial 16S ribosomal RNA". It matches the Rfam family "Archaeal small subunit ribosomal RNA", at positions 748 to 1008 of the family's 1478-position model. The record is from RNAcentral.
CAGCCGUAAACAAUGUGCGUUAGGUGUGUCGGUAACCACGUGUUACUGAUGCGCCGAAGAGAAAUCGUGAAACGCACCACCUGGGAAGUACGGUCGCAAGGCUGAAACUUAAAGGAAUUGGCGGGGGAGCACCACAACGGGAGGAGCGUGCGGUUUAAUUGGAUUCAACACCGGGAAGCUCACCGGAUAGGACAGCAGAAUGAUUGCCGGGCUGAAGACCCUGCAUGACUAGCUGAGAGGUGGUGCAUGGCGUCAGUGACU